GGACGAACGCUGGCGGCGUGCCUAAUACAUGCAAGUCGAGCGGACCGAUGGGAGCUUGCUCCCUAGGUCAGCGGCGGACGGGUGAGUAACACGUGGGUAACCUGCCUGUAAGACUGGGAUAACUCCGGGAAACCGGGGCUAAUACCGGAUGCUUGAUUGAACCGCAUGGUUCAAUCAUAAAAGGUGGCUUUUAGCUACCACUUACAGAUGGACCCGCGGCGCAUUAGCUAGUUGGUGAGGUAACGGCUCACCAAGGCGACGAUGCGUAGCCGACCUGAGAGGGUGAUCGGCCACACUGGGACUGAGACACGGCCCAGACUCCUACGGGAGGCAGCAGUAGGGAAUCUUCCGCAAUGGACGAAAGUCUGACGGAGCAACGCCCGCGUGAGUGAUGAAGGUUUUCGGAUCGUAAAACUCUGUUGUUAGGGAAGAACAAGUACCGUUCGAAUAGGGCGGUACCUUGACGGUACCUAACCAGAAAGCCACGGCUAACUACGUGCCAGCCGCUGC
RNAcentral lists this ribosomal RNA (510 nucleotides) under uncultured bacterium. RNAcentral describes it as "bacterial SSU rRNA". It matches the Rfam family "Bacterial small subunit ribosomal RNA", at positions 27 to 518 of the family's 1533-position model. The record is from RNAcentral.